CGGUAGCUGGAUCGACCGGCCUCCUCGGAGGGCAACCCAGCCAACCCUGUCCGUUCAGGACAAACACAACCCCGCGGG
RNAcentral lists this non-coding RNA (78 nucleotides) under unclassified sequences. Its description in RNAcentral is "DUF3085 RNA". It matches the Rfam family "DUF3085 RNA". The record is from RNAcentral.